GCCAGUGUCACAACCAGCCAAUGUAUAAUCAUCUUGUGUAACCAGCCCUUUGUGCCUGCCUGCUGCUGCCCACGGUAGUUUCCUUCCUACAUCUUUCUUCCCUCCAAACCACACUGCACAAGGAACCUACAGGAGUUUACAGGGCAUGUGAAGAAUGAAUGGAGUCUGAAAACUCGACCAUUAUCCUGCUGUGGGUUACCAUCUACCCAGCUCCUCUGAUACGCUCUUCAAUUCUCCCAAGUCGCUCUUCCUUGGAAAAGUUAUAGUACUCGUCAGUCCCUCCGGAACAUCUAUCUUAAAGAAAAUACACUGUUCGGAGGAAAGGAGCUCUAAAUAUAUGUGUCUCCAGUGUUCAUCCCACAGUCUCAUCAGUGACAUCAGGAAAGGCUGCAGUUACAACUCAGUGGCCGUGCAUUUGCCUAGCACAAGUGAGACCCCAGCACCACAAGUAAAUCAUAGGGCCUUAUGAGUGCCAUACUAUUGUGAUUUAUAACAUGUAUAGCUAAGUAUACAUGCUAUUGUUUUCAUCUGGACAUGAUGGCUGCCUUCCGCUAAUUCCUCAGCUGGGGUCUCAAAGCUUCCAUACCCAGUGUAGCUGCAUUUCAGGUACUGAUUUUGUACCUCUUUUUUUUUUAUGAUUUCUAACUCAUUUUAAUAAAUUUUAUGUGUGUCUAUGUGUGUAUCUCUCU
This 689-nucleotide long non-coding RNA is filed under the name Mus spicilegus (steppe mouse). RNAcentral describes it as "lncRNA (ENSMSIG00000000153.1)". Lineage: Eukaryota; Metazoa; Chordata; Mammalia; Rodentia; Muridae. The record is from RNAcentral.